UGAUCGCAUUAUAGUUUCAUUUAGGGGCAACACAGAAUCUGAUUGGGACUUGGAAAUUAGAAAGUGUGCAGUCGGCCUAAUAUAUGCACGAAACAAUAAUCAAAGAAAGGAAGGGAUCAUAACUGGGCAAAACUUUUUUGACUUUGAUGGAGCAGACACUGGUGGAAGUAGCAGCCCUACUGAAGAACCACAACCUAAAAGCUUCAAAAAGAUUUGAGUUUUGUUCUGGUGGAAGCAGAAACUUUCGUUCAUUUCAAGCUCGUGUAUUUGAGCAACCUUUUGAGAGGCGC
Molecule: unclassified non-coding RNA, 290 nt
Filed under: Hevea brasiliensis (rubber tree)
Lineage: Eukaryota; Viridiplantae; Streptophyta; Magnoliopsida; Malpighiales; Euphorbiaceae
Source: RNAcentral